GAUGAACGCUGGCGGCGUGCCUAAUACAUGCCAGUCGAGCGAACAGACGAGGAGCUUGCUCCUCUGACGUUAGCGGCGGACGGGUGAGUAACACGUGGAUAACCUACCUAUAAGACUGGGAUAACUUUGGGAAACCGGAGCUAAUACCGGAUAAUAUAUUGAACCGCAUGGUUCAAUAGUGAAAGACGGUUUUGCUGUCACUUAUAGAUGGAUCCGCGCCGCAUUAGCUAGUUGGUAAGGUAACGGCUUACCAAGGCAACGAUGCGUAGCCGACCUGAGAGGGUGAUCGGCCACACUGGACCUGAGACACGGUCCAGACUCCUACGGGAGGCAGCAGUAGGGAAUCUUCCGCAAUGGGCGAAAGCCUGACGGAGCAACGCCGCGUGAGUGAUGAAGGUCUUCGGAUCGUAAAACUCUGUUAUUAGGGAAGAACAAAUGUGUAAGUAACUAUGCACGUCUUGACGGUACCUAAUCAGAAAGCCACGGCUAACUACGUG
Molecule: ribosomal RNA, 497 nt
Filed under: uncultured bacterium
Lineage: Bacteria
Description: partial 16S ribosomal RNA
Rfam family: Bacterial small subunit ribosomal RNA
Source: RNAcentral